GAGGUGUGUUUUGUUUCGAUGGAAGUCUAGACGUGUAUCACUAGACGCCAUCCCCAGUUGUCAAAUGAAUUGGCAUCCAUCAAAUAAAGUGGAGUUCUAAACUGAAGUAGUUGAAUUAUUUGAAAUUUUCAGAUCACCUUCCACCAAGAUUUGGGAGUUGCUGCACUAUAUCAUGUGGAUGAUGAAUAACAUUGUUAGCAAAAUUAAGACAAAAGGUGAUAUGGGGAAGAAAGAUAUCUCUGCAGAAGGAUCACAUGCCCAGUAGAAUGUAUGAACCAUAACAAAGGCUUGACUUUUAAAACGGCUGCUAUUCUAUUCCAGUAAAUAUCCCUGGUUUUCACCCCCUCACCGCUCACAUCUUUCAACAAUUCGAGUAACCUAUUACCGGCGAUGUGGUUUGGUAGGAGAGUCGUAUAGGAAAUGCAGAUAAACAGAAGAGCUGUAUGCCUUGUGAUUGUGAGGCUGGGAUGCACCUGGAAUGAACACAUAAUAAGAGGUAAUUCUCCUGGUGCGAAAAGCAUUCAGUACGUACAGCUCUGGAGGAUCCAGCAUUAGCCAUUCUUCAGAUGGACGGAUCAAAUUAGGCAGCCAGCCAUCCUCUUACA
This 605-nucleotide long non-coding RNA is filed under the name Setaria viridis. RNAcentral's name for it is "long non-coding RNA (SVIR_LNC001356)". The record is from RNAcentral. Lineage: Eukaryota; Viridiplantae; Streptophyta; Magnoliopsida; Poales; Poaceae.